GGCGUCACUACAGACUCCCUGGUUCAAAUCCAGGCUGCGUUUCUAUCAAAAAACCACAAACAUUAUUUGCCAAUAUCAUAACUGGAGCUGGACAUCUUUGGAGCAGAAGAAUGAGGACAGCUUUUGUAUGCUAACGUACACUCCUUAACAGUCUUACUGGAUGAAAAGACAGCAAGAAAACACAUAUGCCAAUAUGCAGACUUUGCAGUGCCUCCUUGUGCGACUACCUUGAGCAGCAGUUUGAGGGACUUUGCAGGGAAAAUGCCGUGCAGUAAGGCGUAGGGGAUUGUUUACAGCAGGACGACCC
This is a long non-coding RNA of Salvelinus namaycush (lake trout), 307 nucleotides long. RefSeq lists it as uncharacterized. The record is from RefSeq and is a predicted model, not a curated record. The transcript is spliced from 3 exons. Lineage: Eukaryota; Metazoa; Chordata; Actinopteri; Salmoniformes; Salmonidae.